UAAUACGUAGGCAGCAAGCGUUGUUCGGAAUUACUGGGCGUAAAGAGUGUGUAGGCGGUGCUCCAAGUCUGGUGUGAAAUCUCCCGGCUUAACUGGGAGGGUGCAUUAGAAACUGGAAUGCUAGAGGAUGGGAGAGGUAAGCGGAAUUCCUGGUGUAGCGGUGAAAUGCGUAGAUAUCAGGAGGAACACCUGUGGUGUAGACAGCUUACUGGACCAUUUCUGACGCUGAGACACGAAAGCGUGGGUAGCAAACAGGAUUAGAUACCCUGGUAGUCCACGCCCUAAACGAUGCAUACUUGGUGUGAGCGAUUCAUUUCGUUCGUGCCGGAGCUAACGCGUUAAGUAUGCCGCCUGGGGAGUACGGUCGCAAGGCUG
This 375-nucleotide ribosomal RNA is filed under the name uncultured bacterium. Its description in RNAcentral is "bacterial SSU rRNA". It matches the Rfam family "Bacterial small subunit ribosomal RNA", at positions 521 to 896 of the family's 1533-position model. The record is from RNAcentral.